CGAACGCUGGCGGCGUGCUUAACACAUGCAAGUCGAACGCGAAAGGGACUUCGGUCCUGAGUAAAGUGGCGCACGGGUGAGUAACGCGUAGAUAACCUGUCUUCAUGUCUGGAAUAAUACGCCGAAAGGGGUACUAAUACCGGAUAUUCUUGCUUUUCAUAAGUUAUGCAAGCAAAGGUGGCCUCUGCAUAUGCUACUGCAUGAAGAGGGGUCUGCGUACCAUUAGCUAGUAGGUGGGGUAAUGGCCUACCUAGGCGACGAUGGUUAGCGGGUCUGAGAGGAUGAUCGCCACACUGGCACUGGAACACGGGCCAGACUCCUACGGAGGCAGCAGUGAGGAAUAUUGCGCAAUGGGGGAAACCCUGACGCAGCGACGCCGCGUGAGUGAGGAAGGCCUUCGGGUCGUAAAGCUCUGUCAAGAGGAAAGAAGUGUACAAUGGCUAAUACCUGUUGUAUUUGACGGUACCUCUAAAGGAAGCACCGGCUAACUCCGUGCCAGCCGCCGC
Molecule: ribosomal RNA, 506 nt
Filed under: uncultured bacterium
Lineage: Bacteria
Description: bacterial SSU rRNA
Rfam family: Bacterial small subunit ribosomal RNA
Source: RNAcentral